RNAcentral lists this transfer-messenger RNA (356 nucleotides) under bacterium. RNAcentral's name for it is "RBG-16-49-23 sp018333535 Standard tmRNA". It matches the Rfam family "transfer-messenger RNA". Rfam says of the family: Bacterial tmRNA, also known as 10Sa RNA or SsrA, is named for its dual tRNA and mRNA-like properties. Its role is to liberate the mRNA from a stalled ribosome. RNAcentral also lists the same sequence under 1 other name. The record is from RNAcentral.
GGGGGCGAAAAGGGUUCGACGGGGAUCGUUGACGUCAGGGUGGCAUGCCGAGGUCCCAUUGGCUCGUUAAACAAAUGGGAAUAAACAUAAUCGCAACCAACUACGAUUAUGCCCUAGCUGCUUAAGGGCAGCUAGCGUCCCUUCCGUUUUCUCCUGCAGGGCGGAAAGUGGAUGUCAGAAAUACAGGAUAGUUCCUCUCCGACGCUUAUAGGAUGAGGGGCGAAUCACCAUAAGCUAAUCCUUCCGGAAUCCUGCCCGUGGGAGAUUGGAAGGGUGAAUUUAAAACACGGGCUAAGCAUGUAGAAGCUCUGUCGGAAGGUUCUCGGACGCGGGUUCGAUUCCCGCCGCCUCCACCA